This 445-nucleotide ribosomal RNA is filed under the name uncultured bacterium. Its description in RNAcentral is "partial 16S ribosomal RNA". It matches the Rfam family "Bacterial small subunit ribosomal RNA", at positions 354 to 796 of the family's 1533-position model. The record is from RNAcentral.
GUAAGGAAUAUUGGUCAAUGGGCGGGAGCCUGAACCAGCCAAGUCGCGUGAAGGAAGAAGGAUCUAUGGUUCGUAAACUUCUUUUGCAGGGGAAUAAAGUGCAGGACGUGUCCUGUUUUGUAUGUACCCUGAGAAUAAGGAUCGGCUAACUCCGUGCCAGCAGCCGCGGUAAUACGGAGGAUCCGAGCGUUAUCCGGAUUUAUUGGGUUUAAAGGGUGCGUAGGUGGUUUGAUAAGUCAGCGGUGAAAGUUUGCAGCUUAACUGUAAAAAUGCCGUUGAAACUGUCGGACUUGAGUGUAAAUGAGGUAGGCGGAAUGCGUGGUGUAGCGGUGAAAUGCAUAGAUAUCACGCAGAACUCCGAUUGCGAAGGCAGCUUACUAAGCUACAACUGACACUGAAGCACGAAAGCGUGGGGAUCAAACAGGAUUAGAUACCCGGGUAGUCC